GAUGAACGCUGGCGGCGUGCCUAAUACAUGCAAGUCGAGCGAACAGACGAGGAGCUUGCUCCUCUGACGUUAGCGGCGGACGGGUGAGUAACACGUGGAUAACCUACCUAUAAGACUGGGAUAACUUCGGGAAACCGGAGCUAAUACCGGAUAAUAUAUUGAACCGCAUGGUUCAAUAGUGAAAGACGGUUUUGCUGUCACUUAUAGAUGGAUCCGCGCCGCUUUAGCUAGUUGGUAAGGUAACGGCUUACCAAGGCAACGAUGCGUAGCCGACCUGAGAGGGUGGUCGCCCACACUGGAACGGAGACACGGUCCAGACUCCUACGGGACGCAGCAGUAGGGAAUCUUCCGCAAUGGGCGAAAGCCUGACGGAGCAACGCCGCGUGAGUGAUGAAGGUCUUCGGAUCGUAAAACUCUGUUAUUAGGGAAGAACAAAUGUGUAAGUAACUAUGCACGUCUUGACGGUACCUAAUCAGAAAGCCACGGCUAACUACGUG
This 497-nucleotide ribosomal RNA is filed under the name uncultured bacterium. RNAcentral's name for it is "partial 16S ribosomal RNA". It matches the Rfam family "Bacterial small subunit ribosomal RNA", at positions 28 to 507 of the family's 1533-position model. The record is from RNAcentral.